AGAGUUUGAUCCUGGCUCAGAGCGAACGCUGGCGGCAGGCUUAACACAUGCAAGUCGAACGGACCCUUCGGGGUUAGUGGCGGACGGGUGAGUAACACGUGGGAACGUGCCUUUAGGUUCGGAACAACACAGGGAAACUUGUGCUAAUACCGGAUGUGCCCUUCGGGGGAAAGAUUUAUCGCCUUUAGAGCGGCCCGCGUCUGAUUAGCUAGUUGGUGGGGUAAAGGCUUGCCAAGGCUACGAUCAGUAGCUGGUCUGAGAGGAUGGCCAGCCACAUUGGGACUGAGACACGGCCCAAACUCCUACGGGAGGCAGCAGUGGGGAAUCUUGCGCAAUGGGCGAAAGCCUGACGCAGCCAUGCCGCGUGGAUGAUGAAGGUCUUAGGAUUGUAAA
RNAcentral lists this ribosomal RNA (393 nucleotides) under uncultured bacterium. RNAcentral describes it as "bacterial SSU rRNA". It matches the Rfam family "Bacterial small subunit ribosomal RNA", at positions 8 to 429 of the family's 1533-position model. The record is from RNAcentral.